GACGAACGCUGGCGGCGUGCCUAAUACAUGCAAGUUGAGCGAUGAAGAUUGGUGCUUGCACCAAUUUGAAGAGCAGCGAACGGGUGAGUAACGCGUGGGGAAUCUGCCUUUGAGCGGGGGACAACAUUUGGAAACGAAUGCUAAUACCGCAUAACAACUUUAAACAUAAGUUUCAAGUUUGAAAGAUGCAAUUGCAUCACCCAAAGAUGAUCCCGCGUUGUAUUAGCUAGGUGGUGAGGUAAAGGCUCACCAAGGCGAUGAUACAUAGCCGACCUGAGAGGGUGGUCGGCCCAAUUGGGACUGGGACACGGCCCAAACUCCUACGGGGGGCCGCAGUAGGGAAUCUUCGGCAAUGGACGGAAGUCUGACCGAGCAACGCCGCGUGAGUGAAGAAGGUUUUCGGAUCGUAAAACUCUGUUGGUAGGGAAGAACGUGGGUGAGGGUGGAAAGCUCAUCAAGUGACGGUAACUACACAGAAAGGGACGGCUAACUACGUG
This 497-nucleotide ribosomal RNA is filed under the name uncultured bacterium. RNAcentral describes it as "partial 16S ribosomal RNA". It matches the Rfam family "Bacterial small subunit ribosomal RNA", at positions 28 to 507 of the family's 1533-position model. The record is from RNAcentral.